RNAcentral lists this long non-coding RNA (1033 nucleotides) under Pan troglodytes (chimpanzee). RNAcentral's name for it is "long non-coding RNA NONPTRT013395". Lineage: Eukaryota; Metazoa; Chordata; Mammalia; Primates; Hominidae. The record is from RNAcentral.
CAUUCCGAUCGCAGCAGCCACCCACGUAUCACCUUGGUCUGGGGUGUAGCAGGCAUUGCCAGGGCUCAGCCAAAGCCGGGCUCCAGCUGCUCGUGGAGAUAACAAAGGCUUCUGUGGCCUCAUCUACUUCAUUGUGACGAGGUCGACGCUGUAAGGGGCCAAGUGGAUGAUUUAGCUCAACAGCUAAAUGAUGUUCUGGGAGAAGGGGACUGAGGCUGCCGUGGACAGUGGUCAUCUCGGGCUUCGAAGUCAAUGUGAAGUCAACGUCUAAUGGACCCGAGUUCAGCCAAGAACACACACCCGUUGUUCCAGGGAAGAAUCUCAUGGUGAAGCACUAGUGAGCGUCCAAGCAACUCCCAGCCUAACCUCACGGGUCUGACUGUGGGGCUGCUUCUGCCACGGCUCCUGGCUGGCGAUGGGGCUGUCAGCGUGUCAGCCAACCAUGCAUUGCAGAUGCACUUUGAAGAAAAUUAAUGUACCUGGGUACUUAUGGGACUCCCUGCAUGAGUGGGUAUAAUUGAAAUAGCCGGGACAUCAAAAAGCUGGAACACUGGGAGCCUGGCCCUAGGGUGGCGGAGGCCACAACGGAGCCCCCAGCCGGUUGGAAAGAGGCUUCCUAUGCUCUCCUUUCCAUGCCACUGCGGAAGUGCUGGGAACAGGAAGACCAGGGCAUUGCCAAGUGAAUAAUAACAACCAUGUGUGCGGCGUUCACGAUACCCCAGGCUCAGUGAGCCUUUUACUCAGGGUCUCAUGUGAUGCUGAAAACAAUCCCAUGAAGUUUAGAAGCCUGUGCACACGAAGAGACGUGGUGUUUCCCUAUUGAUCCAAACUGCAUGCUGACCUGUUCCUGCCAGGGCUGCGCUCCUCCUGCUUUGCCCUGGCUCUCCCGUUCUGCACUCCGUCUUCUACCGGGAAUUCCUGGAAGCACCUUUUAUUCACAGUGCCUGCUUUGAAUAGAUACAAAUACAAUUUGUAUCUUAUGUAGUCCAUUCCACACAAUUGAAAAUAUAAUGUAAUAAAAAUCAGAAAAGUA